RNAcentral lists this ribosomal RNA (427 nucleotides) under uncultured bacterium. RNAcentral describes it as "partial 16S ribosomal RNA". It matches the Rfam family "Bacterial small subunit ribosomal RNA", at positions 355 to 774 of the family's 1533-position model. The record is from RNAcentral.
UAGGGAAUCUUCCGCAAUGGACGAAAGUCUGACGGAGCAACGCCGCGUGAGUGAUGAAGGUUUUCGGAUCGUAAAACUCUGUUAUUAGGGAAGAACAAAUGCGUAAGUAACUGUGCGCAUCUUGACGGUACCUAAUCAGAAAGCCACGGCUAACUACGUGCCAGCAGCCGCGGUAAUACGUAGGUGGCAAGCGUUAUCCGGAAUUAUUGGGCGUAAAGCGCGCGUAGGCGGUUUCUUAAGUCUGAUGUGAAAGCCCAAGGCUCAACCGUGGAGGGUCAUUGGAAACUGGGAAACUUGAGUACAGAAGAGGAAAGUGGAAUUCCAUGUGUAGCGGUGAAAUGCGCAGAGAUAUGGAGGAACACCAGUGGCGAAGGCGACUUUCUGGUCUGUAACUGACGCUGAUGUGCGAAAGCGUGGGGAUCAAACA